RNAcentral lists this ribosomal RNA (253 nucleotides) under uncultured bacterium. RNAcentral's name for it is "partial 16S ribosomal RNA". It matches the Rfam family "Bacterial small subunit ribosomal RNA", at positions 524 to 776 of the family's 1533-position model. The record is from RNAcentral.
CACGUAGGGCGCAAGCGUUGUCCGGAAUUAUUGGGCGUAAAGAGCUCGUAGGUGGUUUGUUACGUCUGCUGUGAAAACCUAGGGCUUAACCCUGGGCUUGCAGUGGAUACGGGCAGACUAGAGGUAGGUAGGGGAGAAUGGAAUUCCUGGUGUAGCGGUGAAAUGCGCAGAUAUCAGGAGGAACACCGAUGGCGAAGGCAGUUCUCUGGGCCGUAACUGACGCUGAGGAGCGAAAGCGUGGGGAGCGAACAGG